UCCAGACUCCUACGGGAGGCAGCAGUGGGGAAUAUUGCACAAUGGGGGAAACCCUGAUGCAGCGACGCCGCGUGAGUGAAGAAGUAUUUCGGUAUGUAAAGCUCUCUCAGCAGGGAAGAAAUAGCGACCUUUGGGUCGCCAGACGGUACCUGAUUAAGAAGCCCCGGCUAACUACGUGCCAGCAGCCGCGGUAAUACGUAGGGGGCAAGCGUUAUCCGGAUUUACUGGGUGUAAAGGGAGCGUAGACGGCAGCGCAAGUCUGAAGUGAAAUACCCGGGCUUAACCUGGGAACUGCUUUGGAAACUGUAUGGCUGGAGUGCUGGAGAGGUAAGCGGAAUUCCUAGUGUAGCGGUGAAAUGCGUAGAUAUUAGGAGGAACACCAGUGGCGAAGGCGGCUUACUGGACAGUAACUGACGUUGAGGCUCGAAAGCGUGGGGAGCAAACAGGAGUAGAUACCCUAGUA
This 463-nucleotide ribosomal RNA is filed under the name uncultured bacterium. Its description in RNAcentral is "bacterial SSU rRNA". It matches the Rfam family "Bacterial small subunit ribosomal RNA", at positions 330 to 792 of the family's 1533-position model. The record is from RNAcentral.